GAUGAACGCUGGCGGCGUGCCUAAUACAUGCAAGUCGAACGGCCAAUUCUUUGGGAUUGGUAGUGGCGAACGGGUGAGUAACGCGUGGGUGACCUGCCCCCCAGUGGGGGAUACCAGGCCGAAAGGCCUGCUAAUACCGCAUGGGUCCGACCGGGUUAGAGGCGGUUGGGCAAAGGUGCAAAUCGCUGGGGGAGGGGCCUGCGUCCCAUCAGCUAGUUGGUUGGGUAACGGCCAACCAAGGCGAUGACGGGUAGGGGACCUGAGAGGGUGGCCCCCCACAAUGGAACUGAAACACGGUCCAUACACCUACGGGUGGCAGCAGUAGGGGAUCUUGCUUAAUGGGCGCAAGCCUGAAGCAGCAACGCCGCGUGUGCGAUGACGGCCUUCGGGUUGUAAAGCACUUUUGGUCGGGAAGAGGAAGGACGGUACCGGCCGAAUAAGCCUCGGCUAACUACGUG
RNAcentral lists this ribosomal RNA (458 nucleotides) under uncultured bacterium. RNAcentral describes it as "bacterial SSU rRNA". It matches the Rfam family "Bacterial small subunit ribosomal RNA", at positions 28 to 507 of the family's 1533-position model. The record is from RNAcentral.